This 1135-nucleotide ribosomal RNA is filed under the name bacterium WH10-3-2. RNAcentral describes it as "bacterial SSU rRNA". It matches the Rfam family "Bacterial small subunit ribosomal RNA", at positions 32 to 1150 of the family's 1533-position model. The record is from RNAcentral.
AACAGGGGCGGGUGCCUUAAACUUGCAAGUCGAGCGGACAGAUGGGAGCUUGCUCCCUGAUGUUAGCGGCGGACGGGUGAGUAACACGUGGGUAACCUGCCUGUAAGACUGGGAUAACUCCGGGAAACCGGGGCUAAUACCGGAUGGUUGUUUGAACCGCAUGGUUCAAACAUAAAAGGUGGCUUCGGCUACCACUUACAGAUGGACCCGCGGCGCAUUAGCUAGUUGGUGAGGUAACGGCUCACCAAGGCAACGAUGCGUAGCCGACCUGAGAGGGUGAUCGGCCACACUGGGACUGAGACACGGCCCAGACUCCUACGGGAGGCAGCAGUAGGGAAUCUUCCGCAAUGGACGAAAGUCUGACGGAGCAACGCCGCGUGAGUGAUGAAGGUUUUCGGAUCGUAAAGCUCUGUUGUUAGGGAAGAACAAGUACCGUUCGAAUAGGGCGGUACCUUGACGGUACCUAACCAGAAAGCCACGGCUAACUACGUGCCAGCAGCCGCGGUAAUACGUAGGUGGCAAGCGUUGUCCGGAAUUAUUGGGCGUAAAGGGCUCGCAGGCGGUUUCUUAAGUCUGAUGUGAAAGCCCCCGGCUCAACCGGGGAGGGUCAUUGGAAACUGGGGAACUUGAGUGCAGAAGAGGAGAGUGGAAUUCCACGUGUAGCGGUGAAAUGCGUAGAGAUGUGGAGGAACACCAGUGGCGAAGGCGACUCUCUGGUCUGUAACUGACGCUGAGGAGCGAAAGCGUGGGGAGCGAACAGGAUUAGAUACCCUGGUAGUCCACGCCGUAAACGAUGAGUGCUAAGUGUUAGGGGGUUUCCGCCCCUUAGUGCUGCAGCUAACGCAUUAAGCACUCCGCCUGGGGAGUACGGUCGCAAGACUGAAACUCAAAGGAAUUGACGGGGGCCCGCACAAGCGGUGGAGCAUGUGGUUUAAUUUCGAAGCAACGCGAAGAACCUUACCAGGUCUUGACAUCCUCUGACAAUCCUAGAGAUAGGACGUCCCCUUCGGGGGCAGAGUGACAGGUGGUGCAUGGUUGUCGUCACUUCUUGUCGUGAGAUGUUGGUUUAAGUCCCGCAACGAGCGCAACCUUUGAUCUUAGUGGCCAGCAUUCAUUGGACACUCGUAAGGUGACU